RNAcentral lists this ribosomal RNA (482 nucleotides) under uncultured bacterium. RNAcentral's name for it is "bacterial SSU rRNA". It matches the Rfam family "Bacterial small subunit ribosomal RNA", at positions 501 to 985 of the family's 1533-position model. The record is from RNAcentral.
CUACGUGCCAGCAGCCGCGGUAAUACGGAAGGUCCAGGCGUUAUCCGGAUUUAUUGGGUUUAAAGGGUGCGUAGGCCGUUUGAUAAGCGUGCUGUGAAAUAUAGUGGCUCAACCUCUAUCGUGCAGCGCGAACUGUCGAACUUGAGUGCGUAGUAGGUAGGCGGAAUUCGUGGUGUAGCGGUGAAAUGCUUAGAUAUCACGAAGAACUCCGAUUGCGAAGGCAGCUUACCGUAACGUUACUGACGCUGAAGCACGAAAGCGUGGGUAUCAAACAGGAUUAGAUACCCUGGUAGUCCACGCAGUAAACGAUGAUAACUGGGCGUAUGCGAUAUACAGUAUGCUCCUAAGCGAAAGCGUUAAGUUAUCCACCUGGGGAGUACGCCGGCAACGGUGAAACUCAAAGGAAUUGACGGGGGCCCGCACAAGCGGAGGAACAUGUGGUUUAAUUCGAUGAUACGCGAGGAACCUUACCCGGGAUUGAA